AUACUUACCUGGCGUGGGGGCUACCGUGAUCAAGAAGGCGGUUUCCCCAGGGCGAGGCCCUUCCAUUGCACUCCGGUCUAGGGAUGCACCGGAUAUCCGGUUGGGCCGGAUAUCCGGCCGGAUAUUUCGGUAUCCGGCCCAACCGGAUAUCCGGC
This 155-nucleotide small nuclear RNA is filed under the name Bemisia tabaci. RNAcentral describes it as "U1 spliceosomal RNA". Lineage: Eukaryota; Metazoa; Arthropoda; Insecta; Hemiptera; Aleyrodidae. The record is from RNAcentral.